AUAAGGGCACCACAGAGGUCGGCUAUUCGUUAUGAUGAUUAUCAUUAAUAAUAAAGUGCUCAGCACAUGGGGGUACGCCUCAGUAAGCGCUAAUACACGGUUCCUCCCGACUGAGUCACCUGCUCAGGGGCCUGAACAUGGCCCGGGCAUCCCGCCCCGCCGCCCCCUACCCCGGACCGCGAGCGGGGACCACCGGGGGAAGGAGGUCGGGAUAACCCGGGGAGAGGCGCUCUAGGGGGCGCCAGGAAGAGGCGAGGCGCGCAGCGCGGGCCUUCGCGCAGGUAAAAGAGCGUCGCCCGGGUAGACAGCCACCUCACCGGGGGUAAAAAAGUUGACAUCAUCCUCUUCCUUUGGCUGAGAUGAACUCUAUGCACCAACACCGUACAGCCUGGGGAUUGUUCAUACAAGAAUCUGGUUUGCACAGGCUUUCUGAGCCACGAAGUAAGUAGAUGGACUGUCCUGAGGCUGUAUGCUCUGAGGAAGUCCAGACUAGCUUGCAUAGGGAAGCCGUGACACUUCAAGAAGAGAGAUGCCCACCAUCACCAGCUGAGCCUGGCCCCAUUCUGUUGCAGCUUCGGCAACCAUUGGACUACUACUGCCUGAGAGACCAUAGCCACAGAUGCAGAGCUUGAGCUCUUUCCAAAUUCCUGACCCACAGAAACAGAAAUUUUAAUAAUAGUUCCGAAGAACACAGGGGCAGGACAGGAAUAAAGAUGCAGACGUAGAGAAUGGACUUGAGGACAAAGGGAGGGGGAAGGGUAAGCUGGGACGAAGUGAGAGAGUGGCAUGGACUUAUAUAUACUACCAAAUGUAAAAUAGAUAGCUAGUGGGAAGCAGCCGCAUAGCACAGGGAGAUCAGCUCGGUGCU
Molecule: long non-coding RNA, 868 nt
Organism: Mesoplodon densirostris (Blainville's beaked whale)
Lineage: Eukaryota; Metazoa; Chordata; Mammalia; Artiodactyla; Ziphiidae
Exons: 3
Source: RefSeq, a predicted model, not a curated record